ACCCUUACCUGGCAGGGGAGAUACCAUGAUCACAAAGGUGGUUUUCCUAGGGUUAGGCUUGUCCAUUGCACUCCUGAUGUCUUAACCCCGUGAUUUCCCCAAAUGUGGGUAACUCAAUUACAGAAUUUGUGAUAGUGGGGGACUGUGUUCGCACUCUCCCUUU
Suncus etruscus (white-toothed pygmy shrew) is the source of this 163-nucleotide small nuclear RNA. RefSeq annotates it as U1 spliceosomal RNA. The transcript has a single exon. Lineage: Eukaryota; Metazoa; Chordata; Mammalia; Eulipotyphla; Soricidae. The record is from RefSeq and is a predicted model, not a curated record.